GACGAACGCUGGCGGCGUGCUUAACACAUGCAAGUCGAACGGUAAGGCCCUUCGGGGUACACGAGUGGCGAACGGGUGAGUAACACGUGGGUGAUCUGCCCUGCACUUCGGGAUAAGCCUGGGAAACUGGGUCUAAUACCGGAUAGGACUCCUGGCUUCAUGGUUGGGGGUGGAAAGCUUUUGCGGUGUGGGAUGGGCCCGCGGCCUAUCAGCUUGUUGGUGGGGUAAUGGCCUACCAAGGCGACGAAGGGUAGCCGGCCUGAGAGGGUGACCGGUCACACUGGGACUGAGAUACUGCCCAGACUCCUACGGGAGGCAGCAGUGGGGAAUAUUGCACAAUGGGCGCAAGCCUGAUGCAGCGACGCCGCGUGUGGGAUGACGGCCUUCGGGUUGUAAACCUCUUUCAGCUAUGACGAAGCGCAAGUGACGGUAGUAGCAGAAGAAGGACCGGCCAACUACGUGCCAGCCGCCGCGGUAA
RNAcentral lists this ribosomal RNA (478 nucleotides) under uncultured bacterium. RNAcentral describes it as "partial 16S ribosomal RNA". It matches the Rfam family "Bacterial small subunit ribosomal RNA", at positions 28 to 523 of the family's 1533-position model. The record is from RNAcentral.